GGAAUUUUGGACAAUGGGCGAAAGCCUGAUCCAGCCAUGCCGCGUGCAGGAUGAAGGCCUUCGGGUUGUAAACUGCUUUUGUACGGAACGAAAAGUCUCUUUCUAAUAAAGAGGGAUCAUGACGGUACCGUAAGAAUAAGCACCGGCUAACUACGUGCCAGCAGCCGCGGUAAUACGUAGGGUGCAAGCGUUAAUCGGAAUUACUGGGCGUAAAGCGUGCGCAGGCGGUUAUAUAAGACAGAUGUGAAAUCCCCGGGCUCAACCUGGGAACUGCAUUUGUGACUGUAUAGCUAGAGUACGGUAGAGGGGGAUGGAAUUCCGCGUGUAGCAGUGAAAUGCGUAGAUAUGCGGAGGAACACCGAUGGCGAAGGCAAUCCCCUGGACCUGUACUGACGCUCAUGCACGAAAGCGUGGGGAGCAAACAGGAUUAGAUACCCUUG
RNAcentral lists this ribosomal RNA (440 nucleotides) under uncultured Variovorax sp. RNAcentral's name for it is "bacterial SSU rRNA". It matches the Rfam family "Bacterial small subunit ribosomal RNA", at positions 358 to 790 of the family's 1533-position model. Lineage: Bacteria; Pseudomonadati; Pseudomonadota; Betaproteobacteria; Burkholderiales; Comamonadaceae. The record is from RNAcentral.